RNAcentral lists this long non-coding RNA (3301 nucleotides) under Marmota monax (woodchuck). The record is from RNAcentral. Lineage: Eukaryota; Metazoa; Chordata; Mammalia; Rodentia; Sciuridae.
GUGGUGAGAGUAAUAAUGUGAAAUUAAGUCUUUAAACUUGAUUAGGAGGGAAUUUUAUUUUUCUGUCCUAUUUCUGACCAUAUCUUUGUUUAAUUUCAGUGCCCACUCAAAUAUGUAGGCACAGAAAGUAACUUGGGCUUAUGUAAUAUAGGGGAGGUACCUGACCGAAGUGAUCUCCUGGAGUAGAUGGAGUAAGGCAAGGAAAGAAACCCAGCCAGGGCUGGUUACAGUUCUGGCCUCUAGAGGGAGCCCAUUCCUGAUCAGUUACUAUACAGUCACCUACUUCAGAUUCCCCUAUUAAAUCAGUUUGUGAUUGGUGGUACUUUUAAAUGAAUUUUAUAAUGAACUACUGUGGAAACACUGAGAAGUGUUUUAUGUAUGCUGAUCUUUGCAAAUGUAAUGAUCUCACUCCUUUGGCUAUAUUUUCCAUCUAGUGACCAGAGGCUCUGACCCUUCUUAGAAUCACUGCUUCAGGACAAUUGUAGCCCAUGGAAAGGUACUUUUAAAAAAUUAAGCGGGAAUACAGUAUUAAGAAGGUGAUAUGUAUACUAUUGUAUUGAUACCACAAAAAUUAUAUCUCUAAGGUAGGGUAAAGAGAGAUGUUGGUUGGGUUUUGGCUUUGGUCAAGUUUAUUGAGAUGCAUUUUUAUACAGUAAAAGCCACCCCAUUACUGUGUAUAAUUCGGUGAGUUUUGACACAUGAAUAUGGUUUUGUAACUAAGAUAUAGAAAAUAUUUAUCAUCGCAAAAAGUUCCCUUGGCUCAGGGAAAAUUUUAUUUAUUCAUUAUUUAUUUAUCUAUUUAUUAACUUUUAACUUUAUUUUUUUUUCAGUGCUGGUGAUCAAAUCAGGGAGAAGUUUAAAUGGUUGGUAAGAUGUUGGGGACUUUUAUUUAUUUUCAUUCCUUCACAAGAUUUGUGCAAUACUUAGAAUUUAGGAGGAGAAAAGCAAAAAACCAAAUUCAUUUUCCAAGCUGUGGGCGGAGCUUCUGGAAUAUGAAAGAGCUUGGAAUCACUGCCAAGAAAAGCAGUCAAAAUGUAGGAAUAUGGGCUGGGGCUGUAGCUCAGUGGUAGAGCAUGUGUGAGGCACUGAGUCCAAUCCUCAGCACCACAUAAACAAUAAAAAAAUAGAGGUGUCCAUGUAUAACUAAAAAUUUUUUUUAAUGUAGAAAUAUAACAAAAAGUAAGAAUACAUCUGGUUUCUUUGACAUAUUUUGGACACAAGAUGCUUAUACAAAAUUUUUGACCUAAUCACCAAAGCAUUAUUAAACAGCAAGGGCCGUAGGGCUUCUAGGAGGGUUAUAGCAAGCAAGGAAGUUCAGGGCAAGAGGCUUCUCAGCUGGCCAGUCUUCAAGUAGGAGAGACUUCUAAAUAUGAUCUGGAGGACAGCAGAUUAUAGCAUUCGAAGAAAGCGAGGACUGCAGGGAAAAUAGAUGUUCCUUGGCUUACAAUAAGAUUGCCUCCGAUAGCCCUUUAAGUUGAAAAUAUUGUGAGUCAAAAAUGCAUCGAACAUACCUAAUCUGCUGACCCUUAAUAGUGCAGCCUAGUUGAACUUGAAUGUGCUCCAGAAUACUUACAUUAGCCUACAGUUGGGCAAAAUCAUCUGACACAAAGCCCACUUUUGAAUAUCUCAUGUGAGUUCUUGAAUAUAGUACCCUGUGGAGUAUUGGUUGUUGGCCCUUGUGAUGGAGUGGAGCUGCAGCUUGCUGCCAGGGUCCAGCAUUGAGAGAGAGUAUCAGACUGCAUAUUGCCAGCCUGGGAAAAGAUCAAAAUUUCAAGUACGGUUUCUGCUGAGUGUUUAGCACUUUCCCAUCAUCCUAAACUCAGAAAAUUAUAGGUUGUCUAUAAAUGGAUCUUUUCCAGUCCUUUGGCCAAGAGAUUUAUGGAGUUCUGACUAGCAAAUUUUAUUUUUCAGUUUUUUGUUCCUUCAUUCAACAGAAACUUAGAAUUGUCCCCCACUCCUUGCAUUGUUACACAGAUGUUAUUGUACAACUUCCAUAGCACUUACACUACUACUGAAGAUAGAUGAAUGAUGUGUCAUUCUUUAUAGUGCAGGGAUGAGUGUUGCCAGGUUAUCUGGCACCUAAUACAUACUCAGGUGGUUUUUGGCAAGGACCAUGAGUAACUCUUGUUACUAUAAUUGAAGGUUCUGCUGCUUGCUGCUCAAUAAAAACUUAGGAGACAGAAGUUGGUGGAAGAAAACAGGUUUAUUCAAAGUUGGCCCUAAAGAAAAUAGAGACUUUUUCUGCCUCAACUCUUUAUCUUUGGGGGGGCUCAGGGAUGUAAACUCUUUUAUGAGAAAAAGGGAUACAGUGGGACCAAAGACAGGAAAUACAUGCAUGUGGGCAUGUGUGUACACACACACACACACACACACACUUAAGACUAGGUUGUCCUAGACAGAGAAAUAUAUUACAAUUCCAGUUUCCUUGGUACUUGCCCUGCCUGAUGGGUAGCUUCUCAGUUUCCAUUCUCAGCAUGAGGAAACUAAGGUUAAAACAGCUUUUACUAGGAAUGGAGGGACAAAAAUCAGUCAAAGGGGCUCUGUUACACGCCUAGUAGGGACAACCAUCUAAAAAUGAACUCGUACAUCACUUAAUUUCCAACAAUGGUGUUCCCUUAAGAAGUUUCUAUGUUCUCUGAAAGUGAAAUGUUAUAUUUAAACAUACCAACUCCCCUCCCCCUGUGAAAUUGUGAUACAAUAAGAAAUAUAUCUAUAUACAUAUCUAGUUAUCUGUGUGUGUGGAUAUAUAUAUAUAUAGACUUCAUAUAUAUGAGUCUUGAGUUCCUGGCACAGUACUUCUAAAACCCUUGUAAUUUCCAGAGUGAUAAGUGUCUUGUAUUUGGUCUUAGUCCUGAUACUAGGGCAUCCAAGACCCUUGGAAUCUCCAGAGUAAUAAGUGUCCUUUUUGUAUGCUAAUGGAAUGACUGGUGAUUGAGGGCCCCUAAAUAGCUUAAGGAUAGGGGCUGGUUAUUAGAAAGAUCAAUGUGUGAAAAUCUGAUUGAAAAUUUCAGCCUCAGUCCCAACCUAUAGGAAGGGGAGAAGGGCUGGAGAUUAAGUUGAUCACUAGUAGCUAAUGAUUCAAUCAGUUGUGCCUACAUAAUGAAGCUCCCAUAAAAUCCCUAAACAAGGGAGUUGGGAGAGUUUUCAGGUUGGUAGAUACAUUGAUGUGCUGGGAAGAGAGUGCACCCGGAGAGAGCAUGACAGUUCUGUGCCCUUCUCCCAUGCCUUGCCCUGUGUGUCUCUUACAUUUGACUAUUCCUGAGUUGUAUCUGCUUAAUAAAACUAAUAAUAGCAAGUAAAA